RNAcentral lists this ribosomal RNA (809 nucleotides) under uncultured bacterium. RNAcentral describes it as "bacterial SSU rRNA". It matches the Rfam family "Bacterial small subunit ribosomal RNA", at positions 59 to 868 of the family's 1533-position model. The record is from RNAcentral.
CAGUCGAACGAAGCACUUAUCUUUGAUUCUUCGGAUGAAGAGAUUUGUGACUGACUGGCGGACGGGUGAGUAACGCGUGGGUAACCUGCCUCAUACAGGGGGAUAACAGUUAGAAAUGACUGCUAAUACCGCAUAAGACCACAGAGCCGCAUGGCUCGGUGGGAAAAACUCCGGUGGUAUGAGAUGGACCCGCGUCUGAUUAGGUAGUUGGUGGGGUAACGGCCUACCAAGCCAACGAUCAGUAGCCGACCUGAGAGGGUGACCGGCCACAUUGGGACUGAGACACGGCCCAAACUCCUACGGGAGGCAGCAGUGGGGAAUAUUGCACAAUGGGGGAAACCCUGAUGCAGCGACGCCGCGUGAGCGAAGAAGUAUUUCGGUAUGUAAAGCUCUAUCAGCAGGGAAGAAAAUGACGGUACCUGACUAAGAAGCACCGGCUAAAUACGUGCCAGCAGCCGCGGUAAUACGUAUGGUGCAAGCGUUAUCCGGAUUUACUGGGUGUAAAGGGAGCGUAGACGGCUGUGUAAGUCUGAAGUGAAAGCCCGGGGCUCAACCCCGGGACUGCUUUGGAAACUAUGCAGCUAGAGUGUCGGAGAGGUAAGUGGAAUUCCCAGUGUAGCGGUGAAAUGCGUAGAUAUUGGGAGGAACACCAGUGGCGAAGGCGGCUUACUGGACGAUGACUGACGUUGAGGCUCGAAAGCGUGGGGAGCAAACAGGAUUAGAUACCCUGGUAGUCCACGCCGUANACGAUGACUACUAGGUGUCGGGGAGNAAAGCUCUUCGGUGCCGCAGCAAACGCAAUAAGUAGU